CAAUCGCUGACAAGGCUGUUGUGUCUCCUCCCAGGAGUUUUCGGCUCAUUGCACAUUCGCGACCGUUUCUUCCAUUUUAGUUUCCGUUUACUUUGUUUCAUUGCCCUGGGGAUUCAGCUAUGGGAGCUGGUGCCUCUCGCCAACGGCGCUGGAAGAUAAAGUCCUCCAUAGGGAACGCCGAUCCGUGCUCUACGUCGCCGCCCGUCGAGGUCUUGACCGCAUGUGAGAGCUGUGAGAGUUUGAGGCAGAAUGUGAGUGCCUCUUCGAUUGGCGAUGCCAAGCUAAACUCGCGCAGGCGGGAUAUGGACUGUUGGAACACGCGAAGGGACUCUAAGGAGUUCCAACAUGAAGUAGUCGAGACGGACAGCCUACAGGCCAACUGCGGAGCGCCGAAUGAGCAGGCUUUUCACGAUACGCUUGUGAGUGCCGCCCACCAGUUGCGGGCCCGCCAGCGCGAUGCGAAUGUGAGCAUCUCGAAGGCGGAGAUGGAGGGCCUGGUAGUUCUCACGCGCGAGCUGGAGAACCUCAAGCAGAUGAUGAAGCGUUCGGAGUUCACGGUGGAGGGAACGUGGAGGAUCUUAGAGGAUGAGGGAAUGGUGGAGCGCUUUGGCCAGCAGUUGUACGAUGAGCUGCUCACCCGAAAUCCGCGUCUGCGCGUCUACUUUCACGGCGUCGACAUCAAAGAGCAGUCCAAGUCCUUGCUGCGCAUGGUCGGUACAGCGGUGCACUUCUACCAGAAGCCGCAGUUGACAGUGGACAUGUUCACCAAGGCUGGCGCAAGGCACCGUGGCUACGGCGUGAACGCAGAGGUAUUCGUGGAAAUGAGCAACGCCUUCAUGCGGGUAUUCUCGAAAUUUGUCGGCACAGACGUCUUUCAGGCGGCCGAAGAGGAGUGGCGAAAGUUCUGGAAGUACGUUCUAGAUCUGCUCGUGCACGGAAGCGAGAGCCCGGAGGGGGAGCGGUAUGGAAAGGUGUACGAAGAGAAGAUGCUCAAAAAGAUACAGUCCGAUUUCAAGCUCAUCAUGGAGCGGCAAAACAGAUGCGACCUGCGGCGCCAAUUUGUGAGCGUGAUGUACAGUAAAGCCAUCGAGAUGCACGAGGAGUUGUCAAAGUUCGAAGCACUAAAGGAUCUGCGUGCUAGUGCACGCGUCUUGCAGUCAUACAUCGACGUAAUUAACAACAUCCAUGACAGGAAGCUUUUGGACGAGUACAUGCGCGAGCUUGGCGGGCGCCACACAGCCUACAACGUGACGGUGGAGAACCUACACGCCUUUACCGAGCCGUUCCUCUUCACCUGCCGCCACUUUUUGGAGGAUGAGUGGAAUAUCGCGGUUGAGUCGCGUUUUCUGUGGCUGUUUGAGUACAUGAUCGACGGCAUUUCGGCCGGUAUGGUGAGCGACAUCAACAGCAUCGUAAACUUGCGCGCUCCCAGCAACAGCGUUUCUUUUGGGCUGAUUUUCACCGAUAUUGAGGCAAGUACAAGGCUGUGGAGCAAGGACUCGCAGUCGAUGAGCCUUGCGGUGAAGAGCCAUCACGCCAUGAUCCGGCGCCUUAUCGCUGACUACGGCGCUUAUGAGGUCAAGACGGUCGGCGACUCCUUCAUCAUCGCCACCAAGGAUGUACUGGUGGCGGUGAAGCUGUCGCUGUCCAUUCAGCUAGAGCUGAUGCGGAUGGCGCCGAUUGCUCCAGGAUUUGCGAUGGUUGACAGUUCCGAGGGCCACGGUGAUCCGCAGGCCUGGGAUGACCGCACGCUGCGCGUGCGGAUCGGCGUAGAGCACUGCACGGAUGCCACGGCCACUUAUGACACCAUUCACCGGCGCUACGAUUACUACGGGGCUAGCGUAAAUCGCUGCGCCCGAAUCGAGUCUGCAGCGUGUGGAGGGCAGAUAUUACUCUCUCGUGAGAGUUUUGAGCAUCUCAAGUCCAUCCCCGAGUUCCAUGACGAGCCUUGCCCCUACCUCUUCCGCAGCGUUGAGAUCGCCACUCCACCCCCAAAGGAGGAUAGCCGUGGUUUGGACCACUUCGUGGUAGUGAGCGAUGUCGGCCUGGCGUCCUUCAAAGGCAUAGCUGAGCCAGUGCACCUUGUCUCGUUGGUGCCGCGCUGUCUCGCUGGGCGGCAGUUUACGGAAAAGUUUACCAAGGUAGCGGAAUAAAUUUGUACCCCUGCCACCCAGCGCGCUACUCUCGGCUCUCUCGAAGUCUAGGGGAUUGGUGCGUGUCUCUCUUCUCUGGUACUCUUCUGUUGUCCUUGAUGACGUGGGCGGGGGCACCUGGGGGCGUGGUAUGAGGGCCCAGCCCCCGCUCUGUGAGGAAGCCAAGCAGCCCCCCUACCCUCGCCAACGCCGAACCACUGCCGGCCGUGACCGGGCCGUGUGCCUGCGAUGUGUGGGGAAGUGAGAGCGAUGUAUCGCUGAUGAAAUGCUGACGACCAGGUCCUGAACGGCGUUGCGUCGAAGAGAACCGCGGUAGUGGACACACGUGUGCCACUCAUAUGAUUAGGCAGAGUGUCAGCGGGACUCGACCUAAUUGCACCCAUACCUCACUUCCUACUGGUGCUGGGACCUGGGCGUCACCGCGAGGGGGCGCACUAAGUGGCGGCCGGCAUAAUGGGAGCGGCUUUGAGGCGACUUGCGUGCCAGUGGUGGGUGAGUAUCGUUUGAGGCAGAGGCCGUGCUCUUCGAUGAUUGAGUCGGCGCACUGCUGUAACGCGUGUGCCCACGACCGCUUCGCACGACGCGAUGGGGCGUGUGACAGGCCUGGGUAGAGCUGAGUUGAAUCGCUGCUGUAUGGCAGAGAGUGGGCAUGUUGAACAAAAGACAAUGUAUCAUUUCAUGUUUGGCAGCCCCUUACUCCGCACUGG
This 2860-nucleotide unclassified non-coding RNA is filed under the name Leishmania donovani. Its description in RNAcentral is "gene:LdHU3.28.0120(CDS-product:oxygen-sensing_ade nylate_cyclase)". Lineage: Eukaryota; Euglenozoa; Kinetoplastea; Trypanosomatida; Trypanosomatidae. The record is from RNAcentral.